Molecule: long non-coding RNA, 412 nt
Filed under: Selaginella moellendorffii
Lineage: Eukaryota; Viridiplantae; Streptophyta; Lycopodiopsida; Selaginellales; Selaginellaceae
Description: long non-coding RNA (SMOE_LNC002151)
Source: RNAcentral
ACUCCACACCUAGGAAAGACAAAGAGAAUGCGAUUAAUGGCCUUAAGCCUCCUUGUCAGCAGUGUCAUCGCCAUAGCUUGGGAAGCCUAGCCUAUUGUUGGAGGUUAUUGGCCUUGGUGGUAGGAUAUCCAACCCAUUUCUUGUGUUAACCCUUGCCUCAACUUCUGGUGAUGGAUAUAUGGUUACCAAGCAAAGUGUAAUUCCUUUGCUUUGUUUAGGAGCUCCGUCUGGGUCUGCAGCUCCUGGGAUGUUAGAGCACUCUAAGGCCUGUCUCCUCCAAGAAAAGGAACACAUAGUGCUCAGCUAGCUUGGGAGCUGCAGUGCCGCUACAGAUGGACUACACAGUGCACCAAACCUUGGUCCAUUCAACAUUGCUCAUGUUUGCUGCUACAUGGGUAAGCCAGUCUAUGAC